RNAcentral lists this ribosomal RNA (327 nucleotides) under Parathelphusa maculata. Its description in RNAcentral is "partial 12S ribosomal RNA". The record is from RNAcentral. Lineage: Eukaryota; Metazoa; Arthropoda; Malacostraca; Decapoda; Gecarcinucidae.
AUUUGCUUGAAAUUUAAAGAAUUUGGCGGUAAUUUAGUCNUGUUAGAGGAACCUGUUUUUUAAUCGAUACUCCCCGUAAUAUCUUGCUUGCUUUAUUAGUUUGUAUACCAUCAUUAUCAGACAAUUUUGAAAAGAAUUGUUGAAAUUAAAAUUAAUUAAAAAAAUUAGAUCAAGGCGCAGUUAAUAAGAAAGUUAAAAUGGGUUACAAUAAAAUUUUAUUUAUUACGGAUAUAAUUAGUAAGGAUAAUUUAGGAAAAGGAGGAUUUAAUUGUAAUAUUAGUUUAAUAAGCUAAGAUGAUAAAAGUUCUAAAUUAUGUACACAUCGCC